CCCUGGUAGUCCACGCCGUAAACGAUGUCGAUUUGGAGGUUGUGCCCCUGAGGCGUGGCUUCCGGAGCUAACGCGUUAAAUCGACCGCCUGGGGAGUACGGCCGCAAGGUUAAAACUCAAAUGAAUUGACGGGGGCCCGCACAAGCGGUGGAGCAUGUGGUUUAAUUCGAUGCAACGCGAAGAACCUUACCUGGUCUUGACAUCCACAGAACUUAGCAGAGAUGCUUUGGUGCCUUCGGGAACUGUGAGACAGGUGCUGCAUGGCUGUCGUCAGCUCGUGUUGUGAAAUGUUGGGUUAAGUCCCGCAACGAGCGCAACCCUUAUCCUUUGUUGCCAGCGGUUAGGCCGGGAACUCAAAGGAGACUGCCAGUGAUAAACUGGAGGAAGGUGGGGAUGACGUCAAGUCAUCAUGGCCCUUACGACCAGGGCUACACACGUGCUACAAUGGCAUAUACAAAGAGAAGCGACCUCGCGAGAGCAAGCGGACCUCAUAAAGUAUGUCGUAGUCCGGAUUGGAGUCUGCAACUCGACUCCAUGAAGUCGGAAUCGCUAGUAAUCGUAGAUCAGAAUGCUACGGUGAAUACGUUCCCGGGCCUUGUACACACCGCCCGUCACACCAUGGGAGUGGGUUGCAAAAGAAGUAGGUAGCUUAACCUUCGGGAGGGCGCUUACCACUUUGUG
RNAcentral lists this ribosomal RNA (681 nucleotides) under Klebsiella pneumoniae. RNAcentral's name for it is "bacterial SSU rRNA". It matches the Rfam family "Bacterial small subunit ribosomal RNA", at positions 785 to 1466 of the family's 1533-position model. Lineage: Bacteria; Pseudomonadati; Pseudomonadota; Gammaproteobacteria; Enterobacterales; Enterobacteriaceae. The record is from RNAcentral.